This is a long non-coding RNA of Fundulus heteroclitus (mummichog), 522 nucleotides long. RefSeq lists it as uncharacterized. Lineage: Eukaryota; Metazoa; Chordata; Actinopteri; Cyprinodontiformes; Fundulidae. The transcript is spliced from 3 exons. The record is from RefSeq and is a predicted model, not a curated record.
GGAGGAACUGUGCAGAAAACCUCUACCCAAAGACCCCCAUGAUCAAAAACAGGAAGUAAAGCCAACCACAUGAGAGAUCUGUAGAACUCAGAACGCUCUCAGCCUCCCCUGAAGUGGAUCAUUUCUCAGGUUCCCAACAUGAAAUCUUACAGCUACAAAGUCCUUUUUCAUGUGCUGAUCUUACCACUAUUCGUUGGCUCUCAGGAGGAUGGCGGGAAGCUCCCAGCUCUGGACACAUUCUCAAUCAUGUACCGCGUUCUUGGAUUUGUGGCUUUUUUGAUUAUAAUCCUAUCUAUAUGUAUAAAAUCAUAUUGUGUGAGCAAAGGAAACUGCCUGAAAAGAGCGGCUCCAGUUUCUCCACCUGGGAACCACAUCUAUGAAAAUGAUUAAAUCCAUUUCUAAACCGUAGAGCUAUCACACAACAGCUGCUCUGUUGGGUCUUGUGUCGUCUCUGGUGGUUUUGGUUGCGAACAUUAAAAAUAACACGCAAGUGGAAAUAAAUUUGCAUUUGGCGCUACACAA